Oncorhynchus tshawytscha (Chinook salmon) is the source of this 933-nucleotide long non-coding RNA. RefSeq lists it as uncharacterized. The record is from RefSeq and is a predicted model, not a curated record. The transcript has 4 exons. Lineage: Eukaryota; Metazoa; Chordata; Actinopteri; Salmoniformes; Salmonidae.
UGUCAGCACUCGUUAUUAUUAUCGUCACGUUUGUCUUGUUAGUAUGUUUAGUGUUCUUCAUGGUCAUUAAAUAAUGUAUUGGUCUCAUUGGUCUCAUCGUUACGAUGAACGUGACAAUGGGUGUGUGGUACCCUUCCUCACCAUGCCAACAAGAUGUUACUUCUUGUGGGGUCUUUGCCUUGGAAUUUGCUGAAUGUGUUCUGAAGGAGGAGUCGAUUUGUCUUUUUCAAAUGGGGACAAAAAUGUUAACAUGAGAGAGGAAAUGGCAGUCACACUCCUCAAACACUGAUGUAGAGACUACUAGACAUUAUGACAUUGCUAGAUGACCUGAGCCAACUGUGCCACUGUGGGGAGAUGGACAAUGAAGACACUAACUUGAUUGGUUGUGUCCGCUGCCCACGAUGGUUCCAACAGUCCUGUAUGACCCAUCCCACCAUUGGAGGAUAAUGUCUGCGCUACCUGUCAGGACUAGGUUAGGCCUGAGUUCCAUAAAUAUAGAGAUGAAACUUUCCAUAAAAAUUGGACUAAAUGUUCAGUUGAGCUGUUGCAGCUUUUCAAUAUUUGUUUAUGCUAUUUGUCAUUUAAAAUCUUAUUAUGCAAAGAUUGAAAUUUGUAUUUUAUAUUUAAUGUUUGUUAUCAAACUUAAUUUUCUGUGUUAUUGUGUGGUUUGUAUUAUAUUUCUUAAACACUAUUUCAGAAACAUUUUGUUUAUACUCUAAUUUUGCUUUCUGUGGCACACUACUGGCAAAAAUUAUUCUGAAAUGUGCCAGGCCUUGCAGUCCCAAGAUGGAAGGGGGGGUAUUUCGGCAGUCAAGAAAAUUGCCUUGCCGAGAUCCCUUUCUCCAAUGAAACUCUGACGUACAGUACCAGUCAAUGUAGCCACCCUUUUCCUUGACAGCUUUGCACACUUGGCAUUCUCACAACCAACUUCAU